Oncorhynchus nerka (sockeye salmon) is the source of this 5210-nucleotide long non-coding RNA. RefSeq lists it as uncharacterized. The transcript is spliced from 3 exons. The record is from RefSeq and is a predicted model, not a curated record. Lineage: Eukaryota; Metazoa; Chordata; Actinopteri; Salmoniformes; Salmonidae.
CGCAGAAGAAGAGUUGAAGAAAAGUUGCUUUUUGUUAGCUAGCUAGUGUUAUAUAAAAUAUAAAAUAUUAUCAUCUUCCAUUCUUCCAUCCUGUCUUUUAUACCCCUUAGGCUGACACCAUCUAUGAUGCAAUCUCUAUUGCACUCCACACUGCCCUUUCCCACCUGGACAAAAGCAACACUUAUGUAACCAUGGUUGACAGAGGAAGAACAAUGAUUCCAAGCACUACCCUCCUUUUGAAGCUUCCAGUCUGUUAUUCGAACUCAAUCAGCAUGACAGAGUGAUCUCCAGCCUUGUCCUCGUCAACACUCACACCUGUGUUAACGAGAGAAUCACUGACAUGAUGUCAGCUGGUCUUUUUGUGGCAGGGCUGAAAUGCAGUGGAAAUGUUUUUGGGGAUUCAGUUCAUUUGCAUGGCAAAGAGGGACUUUGCAAUUCAUUGCAAUUCAUCUGAUCACUCAUCAUAACAUUCUGGAGUAUUUGCAAAUUGCCAUCAUACAAAUUGAGGCAGCAAACUUUGUGAAAAUGAAUAUUUGUGUCAUUCUCAAAACCUUUGGCCACGACUGUAUAUCCAGCUAUAUAUUCCCUUCCCCUGUCAGUCACUUUUGGAUUAAAUGGUUUGCCAAGCAGAUAUUAGCCCAAAGGCCGGCAGAUGGCGAUAUUAAGUCGCUUCAUUUUCUUAGCGCCCAAAAUAAAUCCAUGCAGCCAGCUAUACACUCGUAUCCCGGUUUUUACAUAACAAAAUAUCCAUUCAGGCUGCAAAGGCAUCCAUUUCCUCCUUAACUUGAUUAAAUGGCAAGGUGGUGGAAAAAAUUGGGAAAGUAUUAAUACUUUGUUUAUGAAACACAAUUUACCACCACCAUGCUAGUGUAAUGGAUGUGAAACGCUAGCUUAGUUAGCGGUGGUGCGCGCUAAAUAGCGUUUCAAUCGGUGACGUCACUUGCUCUGAGACCUUGAAGUAGUAGUUCCCCUUGCUCUGCAAGGGCUGCGGCUUUUGUGGAGUGAUGGGUAACGAUGCUCCGUGGGUGUCAGUUGUUGAUGUGAGCAGAGGGUCCCUGGUUCGCACCCGGGUAUGGGCGAGGGGAUGGUCAAAAGUUAUACUGUUACACUAGGAGUGGCUGAAUGCUAGCCCAUGGAUGUUGUGUAUCACUUUCAGACAAUUAAGUUGCAGCAGUCUGUUGUUUACCCUUGGUCUGAACCAAGGGGCCAGGCUUACCGUAGAAGCACAGUUUCGACAGCUCCUACAGUCUUGCUUCCGUACUGCAGUUUAACUGACGCUCGGCCCAGAAAGACAAUUCCCAUAGACGGUCACAUAGAAAAGUCAGAUUAGAACAUUCAUAAUGAGACACUUUAGUCAUUACCUUUGUGGGCAAAACAUCCAUUGAACUAUUCAAAUAAAUGUUUCUGAGUCCAAUUUGAUUUCCAUCACUCACAGCCGAAUAUAUUAUUUUACAUUCAUCCAAUGUCUGCCAUGUUUUUGGAUGACUUAAUGAUGUUGUCGCUGCUCGUGCAGCUCCCUGUGUGCAAUGAGUUCUAGUGCAAAUGUGAUGUUGGUUCGCAUUAAACCGGAUGCAACCUGUAUAUAGAUGGUCCAUGAAUCGGUGUAUGCGAACGUGAGUAGAUUACUUUGAAAACGAUGACAUCUUGGACGCAGUCUCCAAUUCUUAUUAUACCUCAGUGGUGGAAAAACAAUUAACCCUGUUCCAUAUAGACAGUAUGGCCAAUAUAUACGGUAUAUAUACAGUUGAGGUCGGAUGUUUACAUACACCUUGGCCAAAUACAUUUAAACUCAGUUUUUUACAAUUCCUGACAUUUGCUGCAGGAGGGACUGGUGCACUUCACAAAAUAGACGAGUACAUGAGGAAAGAAAAUUAUGUGGAUAUAUUGAAGCAACAUCAGUCAGGAAGUUAAAGCUUGGUUGCAAAUGGAUCUUCCAAAUGGACAAUGACUCCAAGCAUACUCACAAAGUUGUUGCAAAAGGACAACCAAGUCAAGGUAUUGGAGUGGCCAUCACAAAGUCUUGACCUCAAUCCUAUAGAAUCAUUGUGGGUAGAACUGGAAAAGCAUGUGCGAGCAAGGAGGCCUACAAAGAAGGCACCAGCUCUGUCAGGAGGAAUGGGUCAAAAUUCACCCAACUUAUUGUGGGAAGCUUGUGGAAGGCUACCUGAAAUGUUUGACCCAAGUUAAACAAUUUAAAGUCAAUGCUACCAAAUACUAAUUGAGUGUAUGUAAACUUCUGACCCACUGGGAAUGUGAUGAAAGAAAUAAAAGCUGAAAUAAAUCAUUGUCACUACUAUUAUUCUGACAUUUCACAUUCUUAAAAUAAAGUGGUGAUCCUAACUGACCUAAUACAGGGAAUUUGUACUAGGAUUAAAUGUCAGGAAUUGUGAAAAUCUGAGUUUAAAUGUAUUUGGCUAAGGUAUAUGUAAACUUCUGACCUCAACUGUCAAUAUAUAUAUAUAAACUCAGCAAAAAAAGAAACAUCCUCUCACUGUCAACAGCAUUUAUUUUCAGCAAACUUAACAUGUGUAAAUAUUUGUAUGAACAUAAUAAGAUUCAACAACUGAGACAUAAACUGAACACGUUCCACAGACAUGUGACUAACAGAAAUGGAAUAAUGUUUCCCUUAACAAAGUUGGUCAACAUCAAAAGUAACAGUCAGUAUCUGUUAUGGCCACCAGCUGCAUUAAGUACUGCAGUGCAUCUCCUCCUCAUGGACUGCACCAGAUUGACAGUUCUUGCUGUGAGAUGUUACCCCACUCUUCCACCAAGGCACCUGCAAGUUCCCGGACAUUUCUGGGGGGAAUGGGUCUAGCCCUCACCCUCCGGUCCAACAGCUCCCAGACGUGCUCAAUGAGAUUGAGAUCAGGGCUCUUCGUUGGCCAUGGCAGAACACUGACAUUCCUGUCUUGCAGGAAAUCACACACAGAACGAGCAGUAUGGCUGGUGUCAUUGUCAUGCUAGAAGAUGUCAAGAUGAGCCUGCAGGAAUGGUACCACAUGAGGGAGGAGGAUGUCUUCCCUGUAAUGUACAGCGUUGAGAUUGCCUGCACUGACAAUAAGCUCAGUCCGAUGAUGCUGUGAUACACCGCCCCAGACCAUGACGGACCCUCCACCUCGAUCCCGCUCCAGAGUACAUGCCUCGGUGUAACGCUCAUUCCUUCGACGACAAGUAUGAAUCCGACCAUCACCCCUGGUGAGACAAACCCGCGACUCAUCGGAGAAGAGCACUUUUUGCCAGUCCUGUCUGGUCCAGCAACGUUGGGUUUGUGCCCAUAGGUGACGUUGUUGCCGGUGAUGUCUGGUGAGGACGUUCCUUACAACUGGCCUACAAGCCCUCAGUCCAGCCUCUCUCAGCCUAUUGCGGACUGUCUGAGCACUGAUGGAGAGAUUGUGUGUUCCUGGUAUAACUCGGGCAGUUGUUGUUGCCAUCCUGUACCUGUUCCGCAGGUGUGAUGUUCGGAUGUACCGAUCCUGUGCAGUUGUUGUUACACGUGGUCUGCCACUACGAGGACAAUCAGCUGUCCGUCCUGUCUCCCUGUAGCGCUGUCUUAGGCGUCUCACAGUACGACAUUGGAAUGAACUCACUGAAGUGGUGAAUGACCUUGAGCCUUCUUGGAUGGGCACUUCUAAUGUAACUCUAUGGCAGUACCCAAGGGGCUUGAAUUUUCUAGCUCUUCUCGUAGAUUUUGCGGUGACCUAGUGUCCCCGUGAGUGACAGAACACUGAGCAAAUCACGGCGCAACUAGAAAACAUUACCAACCCCUACACGCCGUAUUUUCCGUUGGCUGCCCCACCACCACAGAAAGCACUGAGCUAGUCUGAAACACCCUCCUUUUGGCGCUGCCUUACUCAAGAAAGCAAAAAUGAGACCAUGUUUAUGUGCCGCUUGAUUAACUAAAUUUUUUUUUUUUUUUACAUGGUUUGCAAAAUUAUAUGUGACAUGUAUAAAUACCAAAAUAACAUUGCAAAUCAGGCAAAUCAAUGCCCCACCUGCCCUGAAUGACGGGUCGACACUGGUUAUAAAUCCUAUAGUUUUUACAGACUGUACUGUUGUUUUCACUAUAGUAUUUAUUUAGUGUAGUAUACUCUUAACAUUUACAGUUAACUAUAGUAUAAAUACUGUAGUAAAAGAAAACCGUGCUUCUUCAUCUGCAUUGCUUGCUCUUUGGGGUUUUAGGAUGGGUUCUGCAUACACACUUUGUGACAACUGCUGAUGUAAAAAGGACUUUAUAAAUACACAUUUGACUGAUAGUAUAUACUAUGGUAAUUAAAGUAGUGUUUUUGCGGACUGUAGUAUACUUAAGCAAUAAGGCACGAGGGGGUGUGGCAUAUGGCCAAUAUAUCACUGCUAAGGGCGGUUCUUAGGCACGACACAACGCAAUUAGAGCAGUAAAAAUAAAAGUUUUGUCAUACCCGUGAUAUAUGGUCUGAUAUACCACGGCUGUCAGCCAUUCAGCAUUCAGGACUCGAACCACCCAGUUUAUAAUGUAGUAUUACUAUAGCGUUUUUGCAGACAUGACUCUUAUUAUUUUUUACAAAGAAGUGGAGGCUUUCUCCUUCAGGAAACCUAUGCGAGAAUGACAAAAAUAACACAUUUUCCAUAACCAGUGAGUACAGAAAUUUGCAUCCUGUAGCUCUAACUCCAAAAGGUUUUGGGACACUGUAAAGUCCAUGGAGAACAAGAGCACCUCCUCCCAGCUGCCCAUCCACGAUAAUCGAGAAUUUCAAGAAGCAUUUCUCUACGGCUGGCCAUGCUUUCCUCCUGGCUACCCCACCCCGGCCAACAGCUCUGCAUCCCCUGCAGCUACUUGCCCAAGCCUCCCCAGCUUCUCCUUCACCCAAAUCCAGAUAGCAGAUGUUCUGAAAGAGCUGCAAAACCUGGACCCAUACAAAUCAGCUGGGCUUUGUCACGCCCAGACCUUAGAGAGCCGUUUUAUUUCUCUAUUUGGUUAGGUCAGGUUGUGAUGUGGGGUGGGCAUUCUAUGUUUCCUAUUUCUUUGUUUUUGGCCGAGUGUGGUUCCCAAUCAGAGGCAGCUGUCUAUCGUUGUCUCUGAUUGGGAAUCAUACUUAGGUAGCCUUUUUCCCACCUGUGUUUUGUGGGUAGUUAUUUUCUGUUUUGUCUCUGUUACCUGACAGAAUUGUACGCUUUCGUUUUGUUACUUUGUUUGAGUGUUUUUUGAUAAAUAAAAAAAUGAUGAACACUUUUCA